GCAGUUGAGCGGUAGGCCCCUUCGGGGGUACACGAGCAGCGAACGGGUGAGUAUCGCGUGGGUAAUCUACCUUGAGGUGGGGGAUAGCCUCGGGAAACCGAGGGUAAUACCGCAUGAGUCCUUGACGGCAAAAGUCGACAAGGGGAAAGGCGGGGCUCCUUCGGGACCUGUCGCCUCUUGAUGAGCCCGCGUCCGAUUAGCUAGUUGGCGGGGUAAUGGCCCACCAAGGCAACGAUCGGUAGCCGGCCUGAGAGGGUGAACGGCCACAUUGGGACUGAGACACGGCCCAGACUCCUACGGGAGGCAGCAGUGGGGAAUUUUGGGCAAUGGGGGAAACCCUGACCCAGCGACGCCGCGUGGAGGAUGACGGCCCUCGGGUUGUAAACUCCUGUCAGGUGGGAAGAAGAGCCAGUCGGUUAAUACCCGGCUGGAAUUGACUGUACCACCAAAGGAAGCCCCGGCUAACUCCGUGCCAGCAGCCGCGGUAAUACGGAGGGGGCGAGCGUUAUUCGGAUUUACUGGGCGUAAAGCGCACGUAGGUGGCAUGGUAAGUCAAAGGUGAAAGCCCUCGGCUCAACCGAGGAAUUGCCUUUGAAACUGCUUUGCUUGAGUCCG
RNAcentral lists this ribosomal RNA (615 nucleotides) under uncultured bacterium. RNAcentral's name for it is "bacterial SSU rRNA". It matches the Rfam family "Bacterial small subunit ribosomal RNA", at positions 57 to 650 of the family's 1533-position model. The record is from RNAcentral.